AUUGGACGCUGGCGGCAGGCCUAACACAUGCAAGUCGGGCGGUAGCACAAGGGAGCUUGCUCCCCGGGUGACGAGCGGCGGACGGGUGAGUAAUGUCUGGGAAACUGCCUGAUGGAGGGGGAUAACUACUGGAAACGGUAGCUAAUACCGCAUAACGUCUACGGACCAAAGCGGGGGACUUUCGGGCCUCGCGCCAUCAGAUGUGCCCAGAUGGGAUUAGCUAGUAGGGGGGGUAAUGGCUCACCUAGGCGACGAUCCCUAGCUGGUCUGAGAGGAUGACCAGCCACACUGGAACUGAGACACGGUCCAGACUCCUACGGGAGGCAGCAGUGGGGAAUAUUGCACAAUGGGCGCAAGCCUGAUGCAGCCAUGCCGCGUGUGUGAAGAAGGCCUUCGGGUUGUAAAGCACUUUCAGCGAGGAGGAAGGGUCCAGGUUUAAUACACCUGUUCAUUGACGUUACUCGCAGAAGAAGCACCGGCUAACUCCGUGCCAGCCGCCGCAGUAA
This 506-nucleotide ribosomal RNA is filed under the name uncultured bacterium. RNAcentral's name for it is "partial 16S ribosomal RNA". It matches the Rfam family "Bacterial small subunit ribosomal RNA", at positions 30 to 523 of the family's 1533-position model. The record is from RNAcentral.